This is a small nuclear RNA of Prionailurus viverrinus (fishing cat), 103 nucleotides long. The record is from RefSeq and is a predicted model, not a curated record. Lineage: Eukaryota; Metazoa; Chordata; Mammalia; Carnivora; Felidae.
GUGCUUCAGCCACACACAUACUAAAACUGGAACGGUACAGAGAAGAUUGGCAUGGCCUCUGUACAAGGAUGACACACAAAUUUGUGAAGCGUUCCAUGUUUUU